Molecule: long non-coding RNA, 1860 nt
Organism: Rattus norvegicus (Norway rat)
Lineage: Eukaryota; Metazoa; Chordata; Mammalia; Rodentia; Muridae
Source: RefSeq, a predicted model, not a curated record
CCCUACUUCCUAAUUAACUCCACGGCAGCAAGUCUGUGUUCCUCUGCCCGGGCAACGAGCCAGCAUCCUGGCAUGCGCCUGCCUGCGGGCUAGAGAUGAGCGCCCCACACACACAGCCUGGAACCACCUCCUCACUUCAGCAGCAGGGACCCUCUUCGACCUCAGGACCCACUGCCUAGGGAAUGGAGCCACCCACAGUGGACUAUGUCCGCCCACACCAAUUAAGACAAUGAAGACAAGCUCCCAGAGAUGAUCACACAGGUCUGACCAGAACUCGGAGGCUUUUCAUUUUCUUAGAGAGACAGCUCUUCUGAGGAGUACCAUGGGGAGACUUCCACCACCUGAGCUGGAAGGGAAGAGCAGUGGGGUCAGGAGUUGAGCCUGACUGUGAAGACCCUGAAGCUCCUUUCUUCAAACUGCAGCCUCCUUCAGUGCCCCUUAGGAACGCCAGUCAAACCUCGCCGCCAUCUUGCUUUUUACCAUUCAGAGAGGAGAAGGCAGAUUAAAAAUACAUGACUGGCAUUUUCCAGGUUGCCCUGCUGAGCACCGUGAAGGCCCUCCUGCCUCUCUCCUACCCCGACCCACUCUGAAAUCCAAGGCAUCUCCUGGAGCAAAAGUGGAGGGGGUGGUGGUGCGAGGGGGCAGAGGCGCAGGGAGCAGAGGGGGUAGGAGGAGGCUUUGUGCUUUAUUGAAAGAAGGUUUCUUUUCAUUCCAGACUGCUGCCUAUGCCGAGGUCCCUCAAAGCCUGGGGAUUCGAGAGUAAGCAAAGAAAUCCAAUACCCCAGCUUUCCAGCAAGUGGGCUCAGCAGAGGAUUAGGUGGGAGCCUGGGCUGCUCUGAACCCUGGUUUCUAAUUGGACCUUGCUGACCCUCAGAGAGACUUUUAAGAAUCUGACCCGGCGUCUCUGUGUAUGGGGAUGGCGAUGAAAUCUCCUGUCCCAGCGCUGCUCAGGCCUCCCUUUGCUGAAUGACAGGCCAUCGGGCAAGGAUGUAUGGAAGGAGCUGACUAGCCCAGGGAUAGAUCGCUUAGAGCAGUCUACAGUGUCACACACGGGCCCCUCUCCACCCAGCAAUGUAUUUUGAGGGUCACUUCUGUGCAAGGCUCCGACCCUGAGUAGAGUCACAUGGGCUGCUCCGGGAACUCUGAGCGGAUCAUCCGUCCAGCAUUUACCAACAACACACCACAGGCUUUCUUCUCUACCCUCAAGACAGCCCAGGUGCCGGGCACUUUCCCAAUUAAAAGACAAACAAACCAAAGCAGGGCCCAAAGGGUUAGGAGUGGGGGUACUGGGUUCGAGUCUGGUUCUUUCAUGUAAAAAAGCUGGGACGUCUAUGUUUCUAUGUUUACCCAAGUUAGGGACUGAAAGGAGAGCUAAGUCAGAGCCCCACUCCCCUCACAAGCCCCUGUGUGAGGGAGAGGGAUGAGGCCCACAGAGGCUUCCUGUCCUCUCCUCUAGCCUCAUGCUUGGUUUAGCCUCUUUUCCCCACAUAGGUUUGAGGUGACCCUGUAUAGUGGAAAUGGGGGGAUAGUUUUAUGUCAACUUGAUGUAAGCUAGAGUCAUUUCGAAGGUGAAAACCUCAAUUGAGAAAAUAACUCCAGCUAUAGGGAAUUUUUUUAUUUAGUGAUUGAUGGGGGAGGGCUCAGCUCAUUGUGGGUAGAGCCAUUCCUGGUUGGGUAAUCCUGGGUUCUAUAAGAAAGCAGGCUGAGCAAGUCAUGGGAGCAAGCCAGUAAGCAGCACCCCUCCAUGGCCUCUGCUUCAGCCUGCCUCCAGGCUCCUGACCUCUGAGUUCCUGCCCUGACUUCCUUCGAUGAUGAACAUUGACCUGGAAGUGUAAGCCAAAUAAACCUUCUCAUCCCCAA